RNAcentral lists this ribosomal RNA (587 nucleotides) under uncultured bacterium. RNAcentral's name for it is "partial 16S ribosomal RNA". It matches the Rfam family "Bacterial small subunit ribosomal RNA", at positions 355 to 1375 of the family's 1533-position model. The record is from RNAcentral.
UGGGGAAUUUUGGACAAUGGGCGAAAGCCUGAUCCAGCAAUGCCGCGUGUGUGAAGAAGGCCUUCGGGUUGUAAAGCACUUUUGUCCGGAAAGAAAUCCUUGGCUCUAAUACAGUCGGGGGAUGACGGUACCGGAAGAAUAAGCACCGGCUAACUACGUGCCAGCAGCCGCGGUAAUACGUAGGGUGCAAGCGUUAAUCGGAAUUACUGGGCGUAAAGCGUGCGCAGGCGGUUUGCUAAGACCGAUGUGAAAUCCCCGGGCUCAACCUGGGAACUGCAUUGGUGACUGGCAGGCUAGAGUAUGGCAGAGGGGGGUAGAAUUCCACGUGUAGCAGUGAAAUGCGUAGAGAUGUGGAGGAAUACCGAUGGCGAAGGACAGCCCCCUGGGCCAAUACUGACGCUCAUGCACGAAAGCGUGGGGAGCAAACAGGAUUAGAUACCCUGGUAGUCCACGCCCUAAAACGAUGUCAACUAGUUGUUGGGGAUUCAUUUCCUUAGUAACGUAGCUAACGCGUGAAGUUGACCGCCUGGGGAGUACGGUCGCAAGAUUAAAACUUAAAUGAAUUGACGGGGUCAUAGCUGUUUCCU